This 2388-nucleotide long non-coding RNA is filed under the name Homo sapiens (human). RNAcentral describes it as "PREDICTED lncRNA (TCONS_00191759)". Lineage: Eukaryota; Metazoa; Chordata; Mammalia; Primates; Hominidae. The record is from RNAcentral.
GAAGCCAGGCCAAGAAGAAUCCCAGGACUGGAAGGCCUUGUGGGACGUCCCAGGUUUGUCUUGUGUCAAUAGCACUGAUACUCAAUCUCCUACUCCCAUCUGUGAGCAUGCAGACCCUACUUGCCUUCCCACAGCCUCCCUUUUCAUAUUUUUCAUGUUUCUUUAGCUCUGUCUUCAAGCCUUGUUGCUCCCGCAAAAAAACCUGCCUCUUCCUCCAGUCCUCCCAAGCAGGGGGAACAGUCCUGACACCUUUCCAAGCCCUGGUCCAUGGACAUUGUGCCCCCUUCUCCCUGCCCAUGGUGACCUGCUCCAAAACCCUCAAGGAGAAGGGAGUGUAUGUCAUUUCCUCCCUGUAAAGUAAAGAUAAUUUUGCAGGGGACUGUGUGGAUGAAAUGACAUGAUGCAUGGAAAUCCCUUAGCGUGUGCCUGGCAUGUAAACUGCAGGUGUCAUCAUUAUUACUGAGGAAUACUGAGUCCCGAACAUGGCUGUCUCAUUGGUGGACUGGGGUCUCCCCCAGGGCAUUCAUCUACUAUGUGUUUAUUGCACCCUUUUUCCAUGUGAGGCACAUGCCAGGGACUGGGCACAUGGUAUGAACAAGACACAGGUCAUCGGUGUCCUCUUGAGCUCCCUGGCUUGGCAGCAGAUGCAUACCUGGGAAGGAUGCUAGGUCAUCCGGGAACUCUACCUCCUUCAAAUCCCUAAGGACUGUGCUCCCAAUCCGCUUACGCUCAAGGAAGAACUGCCUGGAAGCCCUCCCUGGUACCAUACCCCAGCCGAUGAGUAUGUACCCCCAGAAGUACUUCCGCUCAGAGAAGAAGGAGACGGCAAGCAGGGUGUACAGGAAGGCCCAGAACCAGCCUGCUGUCAGGAUCAGAACAAAAGAGGAGGACUGCAUAUGUAUGGACCCACUCCAGAUGGCACGGGGACGGGGGGAGUAGGAAAAGUGGCAUGAGACCAGGCCCACAGAGUAUGGCUGUGCAAGUUGUUCACUCUACAAGGGCACCUGGCCGGGGUCUUACCUUGAAUGGAGGAGAAGAGCUUGAAGAUGAGGGGACAGGCCAAGACAACUACCUGGCCCCGAGGGGUGGCUGGCCAGCAGAUGAGGAAAUGGAGGCACAGACUGAUUAGAAAACCAGCUCAAGGUCAUGUUGCUGGGCUCUCUGGUGGAGCCUCUGUCUCACAGGUCACCUGCAGGCCAACACUCCCAGAAGCAGCUAGCACCAUGGUUGACCUCGUCCAGGUCCAGGGAAGGCCUCCCUCUCCAGGACUCCUUUAGAUUUCCCCAGCAUCCAGACCUCACCUGCCUAAGUGCUGUUGCCCUGGAAGCCACAGUGAGCACGAGCUCCAUCUUGCACCUUUACCAGCCAAUGGGGGUAAAGACAUUAGCUGGGUUACUCAGGCUGAAAUGCUCAAGACACUCUGUCUCAAGGGAUUUGUGGCUGUUUCAUCCUCAAGUAUAGGGGGAAUAGUGGCCAGGAAGAUCUCAGAGGUGGCUUCUGGAAGAGGAAUCUGGGUACUGGCUACCCUGCCUUGUGUCCCAUCAUUGGUCUGUCUUGCCUGUCUUGGAGCACAUUUCUCACCAAGGCCAUGUUCAAUCCCCUCAAGGGAAGCCUGAGACCACAGCUACUGCCUCGAAUCAGAAGCCCCAGCCUCAUCAUCUGGGGCCAGAGAACUAGGGCAGGAGGAGCCAAGUAGCACAGCAGGAAGCAUGAGUCCCUCCGAGGAGAAGCUGGUCUCUGAGAGGAGCACAGAAUGCAGCAGGCUGGAUAAGCCCCCUGCUGAAAUCAUGGGGUAAAAAAGAGACACAGGGGGAAUGGAGGAGCCAGAGAGAAAGCAGUGUGAUCACAGGCACACAGGACAGCAGCUCACCUUCCCAUCCUUGCUGGCUUUUGCACCCAACAGCCCAAAGCCUCCCCGCUGCAAAUUCUUUUUUUUUUUUUUUUUUGCCAGCCUCACUUCCUCUUGGGGAAGGCUGAGCUCUGGUAGAAGAAGAGAAUGAGAACUGCUGUAAAUACUUCUAAGGGGCCAGGCGUGGUGACUCAUGCUUGUAAUUCCAAGCACUUUGGGAGGCUGAGGCAGGUGGAUCACCUGAAGCCAGGAGUUCAAGAGCAGCCUGGCCAACAUGGCGAAACCCUGUCUCUACUAAAAAUACAAAAUUUAGCCAGGCAUGGUGGCGGGAGCCUGUAAUCUCAGCUCCUAGGGAGGCUGAGCCAGAAGAAUCGCUUAAACCUGGAAGCUGGAGGUUGCAGUGAGCCAAGAUCACACCACCACACUCCAGCCUGGGUGACAGAGCAAGACUCCAUCUCAAAAAGAAAAAAAAGAAAAAAAGGAAAUACUUCUAAGUUAUGUGAGAGAGUACAUACUGACAUUUUCAAUGGGUACAAUAA